Molecule: RNA transcript, 6097 nt
Organism: Cucumis melo (muskmelon)
Lineage: Eukaryota; Viridiplantae; Streptophyta; Magnoliopsida; Cucurbitales; Cucurbitaceae
Exons: 11
Source: RefSeq, a predicted model, not a curated record
AUCAAAGCCGUCUAUAAGUCCCCAAACUCUACGUUUUUUCCUCUCUCUCUCUCACCAUUCCUUCAAUACAACUUUUUUGAGAGAGAGAGAGAGAGAGUAGGGAGGAGACGGAGGAGGAAGAAGAAGAAGAAGAAGAAGACGGACUCUGUUGCUUCUUCAGUUGUGUUUUCCACUGAUGUUCUUAGAUCAACGUAGUGGUACAUAUCAUCAAAAGUACAGGACAAAUGCCAUCAAUAAAAAUGAAGGCCAAGUUAAGCCCGAGCUGUUUAAGAGAAAAACAUUGUCUGCGUGUUUGUCAGAAAUCUAGUGUCAUCUCUAAAAAAGAUUGUACCCGCCUGAGGGGUUCUGAAGAGUCGGAUGAAUUUGAUGGCUGUAUUAAAAAAUGUCUGGAGGCUUCUCUAAACACAGAAUCUUUUAAUAGUAAUAUAAAUCAGAAAGCCAUUAAUCACCACGAAGCCUUUGACGAAGAAACUUCUGAAUUGAAGAGGCACGGAGAAGCUUUUGAGUUGAAGAGGGAAGAACCUUUUUCAGUAAAUGCUGCAGAUAUGAAUGGAAUGGAUUGCACCUCAACCAACUCUUCUGAAAUAGAAGCCAUUUUUUCUCCUAUUUUGAAUAAUGUUGACAUCCAAUGCCAUCCUAUUAUCGAACAUGAUCCAGGGAGCAAACUUGAUAGAGAUAUACCAGGAAUGGAAAUUGAUGAAGGGAAAAAUAGCAGAAGCUCACAUGACAGUCAAACCUGCGACAUAUCAGAUUUUUUUAUUUCUGACAUGAUAGUUGCAAAUUUACCUUUAUGUGAAAAUGAUGACAUUUGUGACAUCAAUUAUUUUCAUGACUACAAAUAUACUCAGUCGAGUGUGUUGUCUGAUGUUGCUGAUCAGUAUAUGAUACUGCCUUUCCUUGAGGACACCAUGAAAUUCAGCAAUUCAGAUGAUGCUAAAUGUUCUGAUGAAUUAGCCAUUGGUUCUGGUAAUUCUAGUUUGUACAGAGUAAUUGAUCAAAGGAAUAAUUUGAGCCUUGAAUUCAGUGUUAGCUCAGAGUCAGAUCAGACAGAGUGUUUUGAUCCCCAGUUGUUCAUAAAAAAUUUACCAGAACUUUCAGAAGUGAUUUCGAAUUUUCAGCCCAGCAUAUUGCCCAAUGAAGAUCGGAAAAGAAAGGCUGUGACUCUUGUACUUGAUUUGGAUGAAACAUUAGUUCACUCUACUUUGGAACCGCAGGAUGAUGCAGACUUCCGCUUUACCGUCUGCUUGAACAUGAAAGAGCACAUUGUAUAUGUUAAACGGAGGCCAUAUCUUCAAAUAUUUCUGGACCGUGUUGCAGAGAUGUUUGAAGUUGCUAUCUUUACAGCCAGUCAAAGUAUUUACGCAGAACAAGUUCUCAACAAACUGGACCCGGAUAAUUGUAUUAUCUCACGACGACUUUAUCGUGAAUCAUGCAUCUUUUCAGACGGAUGUUACACCAAGGAUUUGACAGUUUUAGGCAUUGAUUUAGCAAAAGUUGUCAUUGUAGAUAAUUAUCCACAGGUUUUCCGAUUACAAGUGAACAACGGUAUUCCUAUUAAGAGUUGGAUUGAUGAUCCCUUGGAUUCUGCUUUAAUUUCUUUGCUUCCAUUUUUGGAGACCCUGGUUGAUGUUGAUGACGUGCGCCCUAUUAUUGCCCAGAGAUUCGAAUUUGGAACCUCAGACUUGGAUCUUCUCUUUCUUCCAUCUGAUACUACAUAAGCGUUGUACCUUAUAGAUGGAAAUGGGUGUUGAGAGGGGUGCGGGGGGUUUUACUGAUAGCAAACCAGACUUCCUAUUUGGAAAAUUGAAAAGAAAGAAAACGAAAAAAAUAAAUAAAGAAAGAAAAGAAAAGAAAAGAAAAAAGAAAGGAAGAAAGAAAAACAGAGAGAGGUGCGGGAUCCAGCCUGAUCAAGGCUUUCUAUGUAAAUUGGUACCAACUUGCCUAGCAGCACUUCCUGGGCAGUUCAACCAAAAGAAAAAUGGAAAAGAAAAGAGAGAGAGAAAAAAGAGAAAAAAAAAAAGAAAAAAAAGAAAAAAAAAGGAGAAGAACGAAGAAGAGACCUCCAGUAUUGAAGAUGAUGGUACCUAUUUUCUCUUAGUAUAUUAUAUUUUGCAUGAUGCUAACAUUUAUGAACAUGCGAUUCUUUGUUAUUCAUACUUUAUCUGCUAUACUAUUCCAGUUUCGUGAAAUUUUCUUUAAAAAAGUGUAAAAAUGAAUAUUGCUUCGAUGUUAAGUGAUGUAAGUUAAAUUCAAAAGGAACCUAACUUAUUUAUAGGACAAAUGUAUAUUACCUGCUAUUUCCUGCUUGACACACAAAGCUGAUCUUGGUGAAGCUGCAUUGAUGAGGACGAAAUCCCUGCUACUGUUUCAGGAAAACAUUGUCCCAGCUGAAGGAAUCCUUUGAUAUAAGGGAUAUUUCUUGAUGUCUUUGGAUUGCAUGAUUUAGCAUAUUGAUAGAUGAUGAUUGCUAUCUUUUAUGCUAUAAGACUGUAUGGUUUCUCUGCAGGUCGUUUGAAGAGCCAGUUCUAAAUUACUGCAUAUGGAAAAAUGUUAGGUUUUAAUGCAGAGGCAGGGCCAGGGCCGAAGUUGGAGAACGAACUUGACAAGUGCAUCAUAUUUUAUCCAUCAAUUUCUUCAUAUUGUACCUAAACUUUCAUCUUUUAGAAAGUGUUGUUCUCAUCUUUUAAAAAGUGUUGUGCUUUACUUUUAUAUGAAAUGUUUUAGUUCAAAAAGUUAUUAGAAAAAGGUAUCUAUAUGUACAGUUAGUGAAUUAUGAAUGUUAUGCAAUUGAUAGGCUACACAUUUUAACUAGAAAGGAGGACUUUAAUGAGACAUUUGCGUAGUAAGUGAAUUAGCAGAAGUUUAGUAAAUUAGAUCAGAAGUAAAAUUUUUUUUUUUAACCUUCAACAAGGUAACUUUUUAAGUAAGUUAACAUCAACAUGAGUAUACUCAGCUUUUAAGAUUGAAGGCUAAAAUCUUCAUAUUGUACGUUUGUUCCACUUUUUAGUGGUAGUCCAACUCCAUGAUUGUAUUAUUUGAAAGUUGUGCAAAUGACUUCAAGAAUAAGCCUAGUCUGGGAACGAAGCUUCCAAAACUUCCAGUUUUGUUACAUUUCUGAAUUUUAAUUGUCAUCUUCUGCUUGUAAGAAAGUUGCUCCUAUGUCUUUUCCUCCUUAUGUUUCAUCUUUCAUUUUUUCGUUCAAUUUGGAUUGUUCUCUUAGAAAGUUUGAAGAUUUGUAUUUCGAUUGAGAGAGAGCGACAAUAACACGGUUGGAAAUGGAAAAUCAAAUCGCUUUUUCGAUAUGAAUUUCAGACUUUCCAAAUAAUCUUAGAGGAACACCAACCCAAAAAAAAUAAACAAUAUUAAAUUAAAAGGAAAGAAUCCAAACUUGGAGAAGCAAAUUUGGAUAUUUGUGAAGAAAUUUUACAUAAUUAGACAAGUUUGGAGUGAACCCGAAUUGGAGAUAACUCAACGAACAUGUAAUUUUUUUCUAUUUUAUUUUUUUUUUAAUAUAGGGAUGAACAUGAACUAAAUUGAAGAACAGAGGGGAUAUAUAAUCCUAAAGGUAGAUAUUAGCUAGAAAUUUAUUCUAUCGCUAUUAUGGCAGAAACCCUAGCGUAAUUUCCUGCCAUUUCCCCCCUCUUUUCUUAGAAAUAAUUAAACUCUACUUUCCUCCCCCCGAGUUCCUCGUAUCCUUUGUGUAAACGUUACAAUGAAAGAAAAAGAAAAAAAAUAUCAUCUAAACGCCUUCUCGAUCUGCAGAUUGUAAUACUCGAACAGAUCCGAGUCGUUUUCUGCUUCAUCUUACAUGCAAUUUGCCAUAAGAAGUGAUCCCAAGAAGACGAAAGAGAAGAAGCCCGUCACCGGAAUUGCUGAGCUUGCUGUGUCUGAUGGUUCCGAUCCGUAACCGCCGAAGUCGUUUGGUGUGGUGUCAGUUGGCGGUGUAUCGGUAGGCAUCGUGUCGGUUGGUGUUGGGGUUGUUAUGGUUGGUGUUGCCGGCGGCAUUGGAGUUGGAUUCGUUGGUGGAUUGAUUGGUGUUGUUGUGCUGCGUUCGUAUGAAGAUAUGAGAUGGAAUUGUUUUCUUGUUAUUUGGAUUUGGAUUCAUACAUAGGAAGGAAGUAUUUUGUAAUUUACCUUGGUGUUGACCUUGAUGCUGCGUAGUGGCAAUUUCCGUUGCCUGCAAUCGUUAAGAAAAUAGUUGUUUAUAUUUCAUGUUGAGGAAUGGAUAUCUAGUUUAUCAGGAUGCUGGGAUGUUCAUAGUUAAAUUAUUUUUAUUUUUUAAAUGAAAUGAUAGAGGAAGCAUCAAUCAUGACCAAAUACCUACUAUUGUAUUGUUUCUGUUUCUCUUUUCAGUAUUGGAGAUGGAUUAUGCCUAUGUUUUUGUUAUGAUUCUGAAUUUUAAAUAAACUUGAAGUGAUGAUCUUUCUUACUGGGGUCGGUGGUGGUGAGUUGCGCCGUUCCCCCAAACACGCAGCUUGUAGGUGCUGGAUUCUUCUGGUAGUAGUCGUUAAAGGCAUAAGAAGCGUGGUCUUUCAUGGUGUUGGGCUCAAAGCAACUACCUCCCGAUUGAAUCGCCGAGCAAUCCGCGCCUCCAUAGCCACAAGCAUAAUCUAGAGCUACCUGCAAAGCGUUUGGGGAAGCAUUUGGGCUUGCUAUGCACCAACUUCCACCACCUGUGGUUGUUGGGGUUGUCGGGGUUAUGGUUGGUCCGGUAGGGUUUGUUUGUGCAGGCGGAUUAACAAUUGGCGUCUGGGUCGGAGUUGUGCCACCUGGGGUGGUUGGAUUCACAAUGGGUAUUGUGUCCAGUUGAUUGCUAGAUGUUGAAGUUGAAAAGUAGGGUAUUUGUUCCUCUUCAUUUUGUAGAACAUAGUCUUCUUGGUUUGCUUCAAAGAACGGUCUCUGUGCAAUACUUGAACCUGAAGGCACAAAAAGCAAGGGACAACCAAUAGAAGAAACGUAGGAAGAUGAGCCAGACACUAGCAGUAAUAACAGGUACUUGAUGCAUUUAUUAUUAGAAGAUUAGCUUAAUAUCAUUCUGCAGAAAAAAAUCAACGAAUGCUGAUUUACCUAGACUGAGGAAAACCAACAAUGAAAGUAAUGCAAAAUGGAGCUGAAUACAGGUACCCAUCUCUACAAAUUUCUUCCAAUGUUUGGUUCUGGAUCUUCAAAUGAUUUUGAACAAUGAUAGGGACCAACGAUUUGUGAAAAUCAGAGAUGUGUCAAAUGUGUUUGUGUAAAGAAGAAUUACCCUUUUUGGCGGCAAGCAAUAUAUACAAGUAGCUGGACGACAGAAUCUAAGCUUUCUUGGAUCAUCAAGAGUCAGAAAGAAGGGGAGGAGAAUAUGAGGAAACUUGAGAGAGGAGGCAUUGUAUAUUUGAAUAGUUGGGAAGUGCAAGCAAGGGGAGUUUUAAAAAAUGGAAAAAGGUAUAUGGAGAAGGAAAGGCAAAAUAUAUCUGCUAUGAACUCAAAUCUGAUAGGUGUUAGAAUAAGGUAUAAGGAGAAGUACUGAUUCUGCAGUUUUCGUGUGGUGGCAUUUCCCCUCCUCUUUAGAGCUUCUCUUUUUACUGUUUUUAUGGGUACUGAAUCUGAAAGUUAAAGGUAGGUUUAGGCUAUGGUUUAUAGAUUUGUAUGCACAAGUUGCAUCUUCUAGUUUGUGAUCAAGAAUAUUGUCCCCCGGAGAAUCUGUUUAAGUCCCAAAGCUCACUGCUCUGCUACUUAGGAAGCAAAACAGGAAUCAAAACAGGAAUCAAAUCAUUCUCUCUCUUAAUGCAUCAUCUGUAGAAGCAUUUGAUUCCUUCUUUCACAAACAAGCCCACUAAUCCACUCAACUGAUAGAUACUAAUUAUAUUACCAGUAGUGCAGCAGACAAAUGCAAAAAUGCCAAAAUGAUUCGGCUUAGUGGUAUUAGCAUGAUCUCUAUCCCAAGAGGUCGGAAAAUCCCUGCUCUGUUGUCAUAACAAGAAAACAAUUCUCAGCAGACUAUUUGCCAUAUUUGGGGUCUUUUAAUUUUAGUGUAUUUUAUUCAUGUAAACAUUGUAGCUAUUCUGUGACUGUUCAGAACUUUUUUAUUAGUUCAACUAAGUUUGUAAUUUGUGUC